GGGAGGGGCAGGUUCACCCUCAGUCUGUGUGGGCACUGUCUAAUCAGCUGCCAGUGCAGCUAGAAUAAAGCAGGCAGAAGAAGUUGGAAAGAGCAGACUUGCUGAGUCUUCUGGCCUUCAUCUUUCUCCUGUGCAGGAUGCUUCCUGCCCUCAAACUUCAGACUCCAAGUUCUCCAGCUUUUGGUUUCUUGGACUUACACCAGUGAUUUGCCAGGGACUCUCGGGCCUACUACCACAGACUGAAGGCUGCACUGUUGGCUUCCCUACUUUUGAAGUUUGGGGGCUGGCUUCCUAGUUCCUCAGCUUGUGGAUGACCUACUGUGGGACUUCACCUCGUGAUAGGGUUGUAUACCUGCCAUUUUUCUGUCUUCCUGUGACCCUUCUUCAUCUGGAAUAGAGAAAAUCAGGCUCACUGCUGGUAUUAGAAAGUUCUCAAGGCUACCUUAUCCUUCUUGGUUCCUCUCUCGUCUCCUUCUCCCCAGCUCAACCAGUUUUCUAGAGGCUCCAUUGAGACACAGUUGCACUGCCUGCCACUGUGGACCCCAGCCUUCUGCCAAGUGAGGUACUCACAAUGGCUCCUUGUGCCUUGCUGCUGAGGGCUUCUUGAGUCCAUGCUAACGUGUUCCUGAAGAGGAGUUGAUGCUGCACAGUGAAUUGAGGGCCAAAUCAGCAAUACAACCUGGGUCGCCUGGAUUUCAGCGCAUGGCCUUUCCAAGAUAACAUGCUACUCUCUCGUCCACAGAUUUUGAAGAAAAAAAAAGAUCACCUAAAGAGAAAAUAGAGAAAAACUAAAGCAAGACCACAGAAGAGCUGGAUGUGGAUAGAACAUCUAGACCAGGAAGAACUCAGCCUGGAGGAGUAUGGGAGAAACACAGCAACGGAAAACCUGGAACAUGCAGAGUACUCUUGUAAGUGCUAGUACCCAUAAGCUCUCAUGAUUUUUAAAGAAAGGCAAACUCAACUUGAGGCCGCUUCUAGAAGAAUAAUCACUGUUUUCUGGAACUUAGACUUUUUGAUCCAGGUGCUCUUACAUUAGAAUGUAAAGGCAAAAUCCUAACUGCAGACACAUUUAUCUCUUCACUUUCUCUAAUAUGUAUUACAGCUGUUUCAUGAUGACAAAUAAACCACACAAUGAAACAGAUUUAUGCUGCCAAGAAAUCACGAUCACCAACAUCAAUUCCGUUUUCAACAAAGUCCCACAAACUCACUGUGAUCUUUUGCUAAUUCAUUCUCUCUUUCUAUCCAGUGCCUAUUUUGACUUUUACCACUCCCCUUUACAGAGAAACCAGACACCAUUUAGAUAGGAACCCCAACAAUUUUCUGCAAAUCCCAUUUUCAAACCUAGAUUUUCCAAUUAUGUAUGUAUAUAUAUACAUCCAUAUAUAUCCAUAUAUAUACAUCCAUAUAUAUCCAUAUAUAUAUAUCCAUAUAUAUACAUCCAUAUAUAUCCAUAUAUAUAUCCAUAUAUAUAUCCAUAUAUAUAUUCAUAUAUAUAUCCAUAUAUAUAUCCAUAUAUAUAUUCAUAUAUAUAUCCAUAUAUAUAUCUCUAUAUAUAUCUAUCCAUACAUAUAUCUAUCCGUAUAUAUAUAUAUAGAUAUAUAUAUGGAAGCUGACAUAAAGAUUCAGUCAAAACAUCUCUUCUCACACUAUUCUCUCUCUUUAUUCUCUCAUAUAUUCUGUGGUCAUGCCUUCAGUUAUCCUAUUAUAUAUUGUUGUCUCUCAAAUUUAAAUAUUUUGUCCAGUAACAACUUUUGGAUCACUAGACAUAUUUAGUAAACUAACUUUAAGGAAUCACUGCUUAGAUGGUUAUCUCAGCAUCAACAUCAAAAUUUAAGCUCAUAAUAUCUUUCCCUAACAAACUUCUCAAUUUGCACAUUCAUCAGUCUUCCUACUAAACAGGCAUAUUUUCCAAGUUCAGCUAAAGAUACAACUAUUCUAAUCAGAUUUUCCUCAUAUCCAACCAAUUUAUACCCCAUUAAAAAAAUCCUAAAUACAACUUUAAUGUCUACACUGUUCUCUAGUUCACUGAAAUAGAACAAAUGACCAGAAUUCCUCAUGCAAAUCAUCAAGAUGUCAGAUACCAUCCCCUCUCCACUCUUCAUAUGGUUAGGAAGAACUCAUGCUAUUCUCCUGCUGAAGACUCUCAAAAUCCAUUGACUCUACCUGAAAACCCCAAAGCCUUAAUGUGGUUUUUAAGUUAGUGAAGGAAUGGAGAUCAGUGAUUACCUGUGUGGGACCUGACUCCUCCUUCCUGAGCUCAGACUCUAAGCAAAUGUCUACCCCAUCUGGGUCCCAGAUUUUGAUUGCUUCCAAAAGAAGUUUUCUCCAGGUAAACAAUGAGUUUAUGGUCUUAGAAAGAGGAGAGAGAACAUAAAAGGAGCAAAUAAUUAUUAAGAAAUCUGAUUUCAUGUUUGAGAAAUCAAACAUUAUGAAUUAUUAAGAAAUCUGAUUUCAUAUUUGAGCGAAGGUAACCUAACCUAAGCUGUGAGUGACUGAUUUAGAGAGAGAAAGAGACAGGGAGAAAGAGAGAUACUGUGUGGUGACCGCUUUGAGAGAUCAAAAGAGAAGAUAUUCUUUGUUACACCACUCUAUUCUAUCUUGGUUAGCAGAGUCUCAUGUACACUUCUUCUAAAACAAGGGUAAUACUAUUGACCUCACCCACUCCCUAAGGACAAUAAAUUUGGUCACUUGCUAAUGAUAGCCCUUAAUACAUUUUCCAACUCCUUCCAUUCUUUAAAUUCUCCCUUCUCAUUUAAUGCUAUAUUGCUUCCCUAUCUUUCUUGUAAGUUGAAAUGUUUUUCAUGACUCUUUUGAGGUAUAAUUUGCAUAUCAUAAAGUCACCCAUGUGAACUUUAGCAAAUGUAUCAAGUCGUGCAACCAUCACUAUAAUCAAUUUUAGAACAUUUAAUCGCCUCAGUAAGAUUCCCCAUACCCCUUGCAGUUAAUCCCCCAUUUCGUCCCCAGCCCCAGGCAACCACUAAUCUAUUUUCUGUCUUUAUAGAUUUGCCUUUUCUGGACAUUUCAUAUGAAUGGAUAGAAUUGUACAAUAUGUGGUUUUUAUGGCUGGCUUAUUUCACUUAACAUAAUGUUUUUGAGGUUUAUCUUUGUGGUAGCAUGUAUUAAUAGUUUAUUCAUUUUUAUUGCUGAAUAGCAUCCUACCAUAUAAAAGAUGUGCCACACUUUUUGUAGCCAUUUUCCAGUCAAUAGAUAUUUGAGUUGUUUCCACUUUUUGUCUAUUAUGAAUAAUGCUGCAAUGGAAGCUAACAUAAAAGGUUUUGUUUAAAAAUCUGUUUUUAUCUGGGUAGAUACCUAGGAGUGGAAUUGCUAAGUUAUAUGUCUAAAUUUUUAAGAAACUGGUGAACUGUUUUCCAAAAUGGGUGACCCAUGUUUUUGUCAGUUGAAUUUUAUCUUGAAAAUAAGCAAACAGACACACACAAAAAAAUGUUCUUUACUCCAAAGCUUUAAUGUGGGGAGAAAGAAAAGUUUGUAUUUAUUUUAUUUUAAAUAUGUAUUUAAACUUUAAAUCUGUAUUAAAUCUAUACUUCUUUUAAAACAAUAUUAAUUGUAAACUAAGCUACUGAGUUAGUAAGAGGGUUGGGUGAAUAUAGGUGGGGUGAUAUAGCGGGGAGUUUGGAGAAACACUAUAUGAAUCAAUUCUAUGUCAUUAUCCAAUUUUAGAAACUUUAAUUUUUGAUUUUUUUUUCUUAGAAUUAAGAAUGAAUGGUUGAAACACAUUGGCUUCAAUUUACCAGUGGCUCUUGCUGCCUGCUUUUUUGUGUUGAGAAAAAUUUUGCAUCUAGAUCUUUGUGCAGGCUCAAUGGAAAGAAGGACGCUGAUUGAUGAGUCUGCACUGAUCAGUGAGAAGGGGGUUGUUUUAUUAUUUGGCUAUUUAUUUACUUUCCAGUACUGAGGGUUAAUGUGUUUCCUCUUAGAAAAAGAAGCAUUGAAUGAAAACCAAUUAAAAAAUCAUCAAAUAACAGAUAAUUUUUGUUCCACAAGAAUGAAUUUCUAGUGGUUAAUUUCAGGCAGAAUUAUGGUAGUGUUGGGUCAGAGCCUCCUUAAAAAUAUGCUUCACCUCAAAUCAUGUGAGUCAACAUUUUUCAGUUUUAGGUAUUAAUUUUAACCAAUAUAAUCUGUGAUUUUUAAUCCAAAAACGUGGUUUUCUGCUUGCCUUCCACUUGGAUCUGCCUCAUCUCCUGCAUGUUUAUUUCUGCUUAACCUUUGCAUGACAACAUUAACCAAAGGGGGGUUUUAGGAGCACAAUAUGCAUAUAAAUUUUUUGUGUGUGUGGUGGGGAGUCAGCCAAAAUCACAGAUUUCCAGCCUUACACAAUAGAAGAUCUUCAAUUUGACCAGCCCUUCCCACCCACUGUGGUGAGUAUUCUCUUUUACAGCCAUCAGCGUUCUCAAGGCAGCUGAAUAUGAGUCUGUAAUUACAAGGGAAACAAUGGCUCCAGGGCAGGAAAUGUGCAUGAAAUAUAAUGCAGCUGAGAGCAGCAUUAGCCCAAAGUGCUCUAAUGGUUUUAGGACCUCACCAGGUGGUAAGCCAUCUCCCUGGGUUUUCAUUUCCACCCACCAUUUGCCAGGUAACCUUUGCCCAGUCACUUACCUUCCCAGGGUGCUGUCCUCAGAAGGCAUUAUGGGAUUGGUCAUUUGCUGGCCUGGCAGGGGGAUCUCCCAGCUGGAUGAGGUCAUGCAGACAAAGCUUACAGAAAGUGGUAAGCCUUCAUUAUAUGGGCAGAAACGGAGCGGCAGUGGGAGGAAGGUCUACUUCAAAGCUGAGUCUACAUGGAGGGAGAGAUGGUGAUUAGAUGGUGAGACUUGAAGGGCCCUGGAUAAAGCUUUCCUGUCUCUGUGUAUCACCAGUAGUAUGGCUUUUCUCAGUGGGAAAAACUGAUGCAGUUGAAUUAUUUCCCUACUAAAAAGCAUGAAUAAUAUGUAACAGAAGGAAGAACAUUUUGUAAAUCCCCUCAGCAUUUUUCCAACUUAAGUGUGUAUGUGAAUUACUGGGACAUUUUGUUAAAAUGCAGAUCCCAAUUCAGUAGCUCUAUGGUGGGGCCUGAGAUUGUUUUUUGUUUUUUUUUUCUUUCUUUUUUUUUUUUUUUUUUUUGAGUCAGAGUCUCGCUCUGUCGCCCAGGCUGGAGUGGAGUGGCGCGAUCACGGCUCACUACAAGCUCCGCUUCCUGGGUUCACGCC
This 5195-nucleotide long non-coding RNA is filed under the name Homo sapiens (human). Its description in RNAcentral is "HSALNT0250581". The record is from RNAcentral. Lineage: Eukaryota; Metazoa; Chordata; Mammalia; Primates; Hominidae.